CCUACGGGAGGCAGCAGUGAGGAAUAUUGGUCAAUGGACGAGAGCCUGAACCAGCCAAGUAGCGUGAAGGAUGACUGCCCUACGGGUUGUAAACUUCUUUUAUAUAGGAAUAAAGUUCGGCACGUGUGCCUUUUUGUAUGUACUUUAUGAAUAAGGAUCGGCUAACUCCGUGCCAGCAGCCGCGGUAAUACGGAGGAUCCGAGCGUUAUCCGGAUUUAUUGGGUUUAAAGGGAGCGUAGAUGGAUGCUUAAGUCAGUUGUGAAAGUUUGCGGCUCAACCGUAAAAUUGCAAUUGAUACUGGGAGUCUUGAGUACAGCAGAGGUAGGCGGAAUUCGUGGUGUAGCGGUGAAAUGCUUAGAUAUCACGAAGAACUCCGAUUGCGAAGGCAGCUUACUAAACUGUCACUGACGUUGAUGCUCGAAAGUGUGGGUAUCAAACAGGAUUAGAUACCCGAGUAGUC
This 460-nucleotide ribosomal RNA is filed under the name uncultured bacterium. RNAcentral's name for it is "partial 16S ribosomal RNA". It matches the Rfam family "Bacterial small subunit ribosomal RNA", at positions 338 to 795 of the family's 1533-position model. The record is from RNAcentral.